This 789-nucleotide long non-coding RNA is filed under the name Ananas comosus (pineapple). RNAcentral describes it as "long non-coding RNA (ACOM_LNC029196)". The record is from RNAcentral. Lineage: Eukaryota; Viridiplantae; Streptophyta; Magnoliopsida; Poales; Bromeliaceae.
UGGUUACUUUCGCGAAUUUGUAGUUUAACGAUAUAGAAGAAUCUAAAUUUAUUCAAAUUUUGAUAAAAAAAUAUUUUAAACUAUCUAGAUCAAGAUCAACAUUCUUGAUCUUGAAUUCAGAAGCCCUAUAUUCAAAUUUUAAAGAUUGUUCAAUUUUCACUGUUCAUUUUGGCGUGAUUUACUUACUAAGUAAACGAUGUCAAAAAAAAUAAAAAUUUUAUUUCUAAGAACUUCAUGUACUCUAGAUUAUAUUUGUUGGCGUGGAUCGUUGAUUUGAAUACCCUAAGAUCGAAAAUAAGACUAUAGUUUCGAAGCACCGGUAUUAUAGGCCCUAAACCUUAAACCCUACAUACAUACAUACAUACAUACAUACCGUUAUAUAUAGAAUUAGGCUACUAUACUAUCUAUAGUACCGGAGCUCCGGUACUAUAGUCUUGUUUUCGAUCUUAAGGUGUUCACAUUAACGAUCAACACCGUUAAAUAUGAUCUAGGGUAUAUAAAGUUCUUAGAAAUAAAAUUUUAGUUUUUUUCGACAUCGUUUACUUAGUAAAUAAAUUAUGUCAAAAUGGAUGGUGGAAAUUGAAUAAUCUUUAAAAUUGGAGUAUAGGACUUUUAAAUUCAAGAUCAAGAAAGUUAAUCUUAAUCUAAAUAGUUUAAAGUAUUUUCUAUCAAAAUUUGAAGAAAUUUAGAUUCUUCUACACCGUUAAACUCCAAACUGGCCAUAGUAGCCAUUGAAAAUUGACAAUUUUCAAAUGCUUUGAUCAUAAAGUAAACUAUGUAGAAAAAAUA